GAUGAAGAACGUAGCGAAAUGCGAUAAGUAAUGUGAAUUGCAGAAUUCCGUGAAUCAUCGAAUCUUUGAACGCACAUUGCGCCCGCCAGUAUUCUGGCGGGCAUGCCUGUCCGAGCGUCAUUUCAACCCUCGAACCCCUCCGGGGGGUCGGCGUUGGGGAUCGGCCCUGCCUCUUGGCGGUGGCCGUCUCCGAAAUACAGUGGCGGUCUCGCCGCAGCCUCUCCUGCGCAGUAGUUUGCACACUCGCAUCGGGAGCGCGGCGCGUCCACAGCCGUUAAACACCCAACUUCUGAAAUGUUGACCUCGGAUCAGGUAGGAAUACCCGCUGAACUUAAGCAUAUCAAUAAGCGGAGGA
RNAcentral lists this unclassified non-coding RNA (355 nucleotides) under soil metagenome. Its description in RNAcentral is "partial contains 5.8S ribosomal RNA, internal transcribed spacer 2, and large subunit ribosomal RNA". The stretch from base 1 to 120 matches the Rfam family "5.8S ribosomal RNA", at positions 35 to 154 of the family's 154-position model. The record is from RNAcentral.